UACGUAGGGGGCAAGCGUUGUCCGGAUUUAUUGGGCGUAAAGAGCGUGUAGGCGGCUGGGUAGGUCCGCUGUGAAAACUCGAGGCUUAACCUCGAGACGUCGGUGGAAACCAUCCAGCUAGAGUCCGGAAGAGGAGAGUGGAAUUCCUGGUGUAGCGGUGAAAUGCGCAGAUAUCAGGAAGAACACCCGUGGCGAAAGCGGCUCUCUGGGACGGUGCUGACGCUGAGACGCGAAAGCGUGGGGAGCGAACAGG
Molecule: ribosomal RNA, 253 nt
Filed under: uncultured bacterium
Lineage: Bacteria
Description: partial 16S ribosomal RNA
Rfam family: Bacterial small subunit ribosomal RNA
Source: RNAcentral